AACGAACGCUGGCGGCAGGCCUAACACAUGCAAGUCGAGCGGACCUUUCGGGGUCAGCGGCGGACGGGUGAGUAACGCGUGGGAAUAUGCCCUUCUCUACGGAAUAGUCCUGGGAAACUGGGGGUAAUACCGUAUACGCCCUUUGGGGGAAAGAUUUAUCGGGGAAGGAUUAGCCCGCGUUGGAUUAGGUAGUUGGUGGGGUAAUGGCCUACCAAGCCGACGAUCCAUAGCUGGUUUGAGAGGAUGAUCAGCCACACUGGGACUGAGACACGGCCCAGACUCCUACGGGAGGCAGCAGUGGGGAAUCUUAGACAAUGGGGGCAACCCUGAUCUAGCCAUGCCGCGUGAGUGAUGAAGGCCUUAGGGUUGUAAAGCUCUUUCAGCUGGGAAGAUAAUGACGGUUCCAGCAGAAGAAGCCCCGGCUAACUCCGUG
This 433-nucleotide ribosomal RNA is filed under the name uncultured bacterium. Its description in RNAcentral is "partial 16S ribosomal RNA". It matches the Rfam family "Bacterial small subunit ribosomal RNA", at positions 29 to 507 of the family's 1533-position model. The record is from RNAcentral.